AACAGGAUUAGAUACCCUGGUAGUCCACGCCGUAAACGAUGUCUACUAGCCGUCGGCGAUCUUGUAUUGUUGGUGGCGCAGCUAACGCGAUAAGUAGACCGCCUGGGGAGUACGGCCGCAAGGUUAAAACUCAAAUGAAUUGACGGGGGCCCGCACAAGCGGUGGAGCAUGUGGUUUAAUUCGAUGCAACGCGAAGAACCUUACCUACCCUUGACAUCCUGCGAACCCGGAAGAGAUUCCGGGGUGCCUUCGGGAGCGCAGAGACAGGUGCUGCAUGGCUGUCGUCAGCUCGUGUUGUGAAAUGUUGGGUUAAGUCCCGUAACGAGCGCAACCCCUGUCCCUAUUUGCCAGCGAUUCGGUCGGGAACUCUAGGGAGACUGCCGGUGACAAACCGGAGGAAGGUGGGGACGACGUCAAGUCAUCAUGGCCCUUACGGGUAGGGCUACACACGUGCUACAAUGGCAGGUACAAAGGGUUGCGAGACGGCGACGUGGAGCGAAUCCCAUAAAGCCUGCCUCAGUUCGGAUCGGAGUCUGCAACUCGACUCCGUGAAGUCGGAAUCGCUAGUAAUCGUGAAUCAGAAUGUCACGGUGAAUACGUUCCCGGGCCUUGUACACACCGCCCGUCACACCAUGGGAGUGGACUGCACCAGAAGUGGUUAGCUUAACCUUCGGGAGAGCGAUCACCACGGUGUGGUUCAUGACUGGGGUGAAGUCGUAACAAGGUAACC
RNAcentral lists this ribosomal RNA (730 nucleotides) under uncultured bacterium. RNAcentral describes it as "bacterial SSU rRNA". It matches the Rfam family "Bacterial small subunit ribosomal RNA", at positions 771 to 1501 of the family's 1533-position model. The record is from RNAcentral.